Molecule: ribosomal RNA, 433 nt
Filed under: uncultured bacterium
Lineage: Bacteria
Description: partial 16S ribosomal RNA
Rfam family: Bacterial small subunit ribosomal RNA
Source: RNAcentral
AACGAACGCUGGCGGCAUGCCUAACACAUGCAAGUCGAACGAGACCUUCGGGUCUAGUGGCGCACGGGUGCGUAACGCGUGGGAACCUGCCCUUAGGUUCGGAAUAACUCCCCGAAAGGGGUGCUAAUUCCGGAUAAUGUCUUCGGACCAAAGAUUUAUCGCCUUUGGAUGGGCCCGCGUUGGAUUAGCUAGUUGGUAGGGUAAAAGCCUACCAAGGCGACGAUCCAUAGCUGGUCUGAGAGGAUGAUCAGCCACACUGGGACUGAGACACGGCCCAGACUCCUACGGGAGGCAGCAGUGGGGAAUAUUGGACAAUGGGCGAAAGCCUGAUCCAGCAAUGCCGCGUGAGUGAUGAAGGCCUUAGGGUUGUAAAGCUCUUUUACCCGGGAUGAUAAUGACAGUACCGGGAGAAUAAGCGCCGGCUAACUCCGUG